This 482-nucleotide ribosomal RNA is filed under the name uncultured bacterium. RNAcentral describes it as "partial 16S ribosomal RNA". It matches the Rfam family "Bacterial small subunit ribosomal RNA", at positions 28 to 524 of the family's 1533-position model. The record is from RNAcentral.
GACGAACGCUGGCGGCGUGCUUAACACAUGCAAGUCGAGCGGUAAGGCCCUUUCGGGGGUACGACGAGCGGCGAACGGGUGAGUAACACGUGGGUGACCUGCCCUCAGCUCUGGGAUAAGCCUGGGAAACUGGGUCUAAUACUGGAUAUGACUCCACGGUGCAUGUCGUGGGGUGGAAAGCCUUGUGCGGCUGAGGAUGGGCCCGCGGCCUAUCAGCUUGUUGGUGGGGUGAUGGCCUACCAAGGCGACGACGGGUAGCCGGCCUGAGAGGGCGACCGGCCACACUGGGACUGAGACACGGCCCAGACUCCUACGGGAGGGCAGCAGUGGGGAAUAUUGGACAAUGGGCGAAAGCCUGAUCCAGCCAUGCCGCGUGAGUGAUGAAGGCCUUAGGGUUGUAAAGCUCUUUUGGGUCGGGGACGAUAAUGACGGGUACCCGCAGAAUAAGUCCCGGCUAACUUCGUGCCAGCAGCCGCAGUAAC